CCUCGGAGCCCGCGGAAGGGCCCGGCUCCGCCCGGGCUGCGGCGCCUGUUUUCCCCCUCUUAAAUGAGGCCGAGAGGUUGCUGUUCUUCUAUUUUUAAACUGCGUGCUACUCGGUGGAGAAAAGAGCGAAAUCACCCUGAGCCCCACAGCACUCUGAAUGAGUGCAGCAAGAGGAGGGAAAACAGCACUGGCUUGCUUUUGGACCAAGAUCAAAAGGAGAAACUGGAAACAACUGGAUUUGGGAUCAAAAUAAUUGCCUUGAGACCGAAGUGCAGCUGCAGUGUGCAUUCCAGAUGUGAGAUGAAGCAGCGUGUUACAGUACCUAAUGAGACCUCAAUCUUGCAGGAGCAUCAUACAUUCUGUGACUCAUCUAGCUUCUUUUCCAGCAGAUGGUGAUGACGGCUUUUUACCUCCAUUUUGGAUGACUGAUGAAGACAUGACUGGUCCAGGUUUUCAAAGGCCAGAUAGUCUGAGUCCUCACAGAAGAAAAAGGC
This is a non-coding RNA of Meleagris gallopavo (turkey), 494 nucleotides long. NCBI's taxonomy places the organism in Eukaryota, Metazoa, Chordata, Aves, Galliformes, Phasianidae. The record is from RefSeq and is a predicted model, not a curated record.